GCUAAACAAGUUUUUAGAAAAUUACCAUAUAUAAUCUUUCUAUUAAUACGGACUUAGAGAUAUUAAAUACCCAAAAUAACAUUUACAUUAGUUCAGUUUUAGUAGAAUUACAUGUAUACAAUGAAAUAAGGAAAAAAAACUACUCAAUAAUAUUUUAAAUGUUCAAACUGAUUUUAAAAAUAAUAUCGUGUAUUAAUACAUUUUAGACAACAAAUAAUAACCAAAUAAUUUAUAUUCCUUAACAUAUCUAUGUCUAAUAAUAAAUAAUUUAAAAUAAUCUUUUCUAUUUAAAUAAAUUAUCUAUAUGUAAAACGACCAAUUCGUAUAAUUUUUUCUCUGUGUAUUCCUUAAUUUAUUUUUUUAUAUUUAGUCGCAUUUUACUCAGUGAAUUAGUGAUUUUACCUGCCGAAGAAUUUUUAAUUUAAAAUUUCUGAAGGAAAUUAAUUUUUUUGGCUUGAUUUUUUUACACACUCUGUCCCUAGAUAUAAGUAUUUUCCAAAGAGAAAGAAUGCUGCAGAAAGAAUAUCACCACAACACAGUGGAUUUUUGAAGGAAUUUGUCUGGUAAUUUUAUUAAUUAUAAGAAAUAUAUAACCUAACCAACUGUAAUAUAAUACAUUUAAAAUAAUUAUAAUUUUAUUGUUCUCAGCGUCAGACGCGUCGAUUAACUGAUGGAAUAAUUAAAAAAUGGCCAAUGAUCUCGUCGUUAUAAUAUAAAGUAUUAUUAAUUAAUUUUUGCAGUUCGACGAACAGGAACAUAAUUUUUAUAUGAAAUUAUAUCCAGCUUCUUUGUACCUGCAGUGUUCCGGAAUUUUAAUUUCACAAUAGUUAAUUUUGAGAAUGCACGAUGGCAUUGAUAAUAUUGAAAUAUUAUAUGAUGAUUAUUUAAAUUAAAAAAAAAAACAAAUCAUACUGCUGUUGAAGGAACUCAUCACCUCGUAAGUGGGAACUUGGGAAGGUAGGAUACAUAUAAUUAUUUAAUUUAUAUCUGUACGCAACGAUAAAAUAUUGUAAAUGAAAAACAAUUCUGAGCGAAGUUCGAUUAAAUAUCUCACACACGAACCUAUUCAGUAGGGCAUUAUCUUUUCGAAGAAAUAAACAAUAAUAAUAAUAAUAAUAUAUUUAGAAGUAUCGUAAUUUUUACAAAAUUUUAACGAUUUAAAUGAUUACUAUUGGCUAUUUUAUUAAAAUGCUGAUGGUAAUAUUUAUUGAUUAUUAUUGUUAUAAUUCGUAGUUGUUAUAAGUAUAUUGAUUAUUAUAAUAGUGCAUUCAGAUUAUUAAAAAAGUUGUUGAUUAUUAUGAUGCUGAAUUUAUUUUUAUUUUUAAAAUGAUCAUUAUUAUUAUUAAAAUUAUUCUUAUGCUUAUUAUGUUUAUUAUUGCUUCUUAGAGGUAGAAAAGUUAUCCACAGUAAUAAAAGAAUAUAAGAAUAACAAUGAUGACGAUAAUAAUAAUAAUGAGCAUUUUAAAAAUCAUAAUUUCAAUAAAAAGUAUAAUAGGUAAUAAUUAAUGUAAUGAUCCCUUAAAUAAUAAUAAUAAUGAGCA
This is a non-coding RNA of Cinara cedri, 1541 nucleotides long. Lineage: Eukaryota; Metazoa; Arthropoda; Insecta; Hemiptera; Aphididae. The record is from the annotation of a GenBank genome assembly.